GACGAACGCUGGCGGCGUGCUUAACACAUGCAAGUCGAACGGAAAGGCCCUGCUUUUGUGGGGUGCUCGAGUGGCGAACGGGUGAGUAACACGUGAGUAACCUGCCCUUGACUUUGGGAUAACUUCAGGAAACUGGGGCUCAUACCGGAUAUGAGCUCCUGCUGCAUGUUGGUGGUUGGAAAGUUUCGGCGGUAGUGGCUGGACUCGCGGCUUAUCAGCUUGUUGGUGGGGUAGUGGCUUACCAGGCCUUUGACGGGUAGCCGGCAUGAGAGGGUGACCGGGGACAUGGGGACUGAGAGACGGCCCAGACGCCUACGGGAGGCAGCAGUGGAGAAUAUUGCACAAUGGGCGGAAGCCUGAUGCAGAAACGUCGGGUGCGGGAUGACGGCCUAUGGGUUGUAAACCGAUUUGGCAUGUGACAAAGCGUGAGUGACGGUAAUGGGUAAAGAAGCAACGGCUAACUACGUG
RNAcentral lists this ribosomal RNA (468 nucleotides) under uncultured bacterium. RNAcentral's name for it is "partial 16S ribosomal RNA". It matches the Rfam family "Bacterial small subunit ribosomal RNA", at positions 28 to 507 of the family's 1533-position model. The record is from RNAcentral.